This 482-nucleotide ribosomal RNA is filed under the name uncultured bacterium. Its description in RNAcentral is "bacterial SSU rRNA". It matches the Rfam family "Bacterial small subunit ribosomal RNA", at positions 17 to 518 of the family's 1533-position model. The record is from RNAcentral.
UUAUGGCUCAGGACGAACGCUGGCGGCGUGCUUCAUACAUGCAAGUCGAACGAGAAGCUGACUUCGGUCAGUGGAAAGUGGCGGACGGGUGAGUAAUAUGUAGGAAAUCUGCCCUAGAGAGGGGGACAACAGAGGGAAACUUCUGCUAAUACCCCAUAUGAGCUUAGUUGAAAUACUAAUCUUGAAAACUCCGGUGCUCUAGGAUGAGCCUGCAUCUGAUUAGCUAGUUGGCGGUGUAAUGGACCACCAAGGCGACGAUCAGUAGCUGGUUUGAGAGGAUGAUCAGCCACAAUGGGACUGAGACACGGCCCAUACUCCUACGGGAGGCAGCAGUAGGGAAUUUUGCGCAAUGGGCGAAAGCCUGAACCGCAGCAACGCCGCGUGAACGAUUAAGCCCUUCGGGGUGUAAAGUUCUGUCAGUGGGGACGAAACUUGACGGUACUCACAGAGGAAGCACCGGCUAACUCCGUGCCAGCCGCUGC